RNAcentral lists this ribosomal RNA (491 nucleotides) under uncultured bacterium. Its description in RNAcentral is "bacterial SSU rRNA". It matches the Rfam family "Bacterial small subunit ribosomal RNA", at positions 30 to 517 of the family's 1533-position model. The record is from RNAcentral.
AUUGAACGCUGGCGGCAGGCCUAACACAUGCAAGUCGAGCGGAUGAAAGGGGCUUGCUCCUGGAUUCAGCGGCGGACGGGUGAGUAAUACGCAGGAAUCUACCUAGUAGUGGGGGGAUAACGUUUCGAAAGGGACGCUAAUACCGCAUACGUUCUGAGGAAGAAAGCAGGGGAUCGUAAGACCUUGCGCUAUUAGAUGAGCUUGCGUCCGAUUAGCUAGUUGGUGGGGUAAUGGCCCACCAAGGGGACGAUGCGUAGCUAGUCUGAGAGGAUGAUCAGCCACACUGGGACUGAGACACGGCCCAGACUCCUACGGGAGGCAGCAGUGGGGAAUAUUGGACAAUGGCCGCAAGGCUGAUCCAGCCAUGCCGCGUGCAGGAAGACGGACCUAUGGUUUGUAAACUGCUUUUGAACGGGAGAAAACCCCCCUACGUCGUAGGGGGCUGAUAGUACUGUUAGAAUAAGCAUCGGCUAACUUCGUGCCAGCAGCCG